This 329-nucleotide unclassified non-coding RNA is filed under the name soil metagenome. Its description in RNAcentral is "partial contains 5.8S ribosomal RNA, internal transcribed spacer 2, and large subunit ribosomal RNA". The stretch from base 1 to 120 matches the Rfam family "5.8S ribosomal RNA", at positions 35 to 154 of the family's 154-position model. The record is from RNAcentral.
GAUGAAGAACGUAGCGAAAUGCGAUAAGUAAUGUGAAUUGCAGAAUUCAGUGAAUCAUCGAAUCUUUGAACGCACAUUGCGCCCCCUGGUAUUCCGGGGGGCAUGCCUGUCCGAGCGUCAUUACAACCCUCAAGCUCUGCUUGGUGUUGGGCCCCGCCGCCCCGGCGGGCCCUAAAGUCAGUGGCGGUGCCAUCCGGCUCCGAGCGUAGUAAUUCUUCUCGCUCUGGAGGUCCGGUUGUGUGCUUGCCAUCAACCCCCAAUUUUUUUCAGGUUGACCUCGGAUCAGGUAGGGAUACCCGCUGAACUUAAGAAUAUCAAUAAGCGGAGGA